Molecule: transfer RNA, 74 nt
Filed under: bacterium
Lineage: Bacteria
Also listed under: 1 other name
Description: tRNA-Ile
Rfam family: tRNA
About the family: Transfer RNA (tRNA) molecules are approximately 80 nucleotides in length. Their secondary structure includes four short double-helical elements and three loops (D, anti-codon, and T loops).
Source: RNAcentral
CCACCCUUAGCUCAAUUGGUUAGAGCACAGAGCUUAUACCUCUGCGGUUCCUGGUUCGAGUCCAGGAGGGUGGA